GAUGAACGCUGGCGGCGUGCCUAAUACAUGCAAGUCGAGCGAACGGACGAGAAGCUUGCUUCUCUGAUGUUAGCGGCGGACGGGUGAGUAACACGUGGAUAACCUACCUAUAAGACUGGGAUAACUUCGGGAAACCGGAGCUAAUACCGGAUAAUAUUUUGAACCGCAUGGUUCAAAAGUGAAAGACGGUCUUGCUGUCACUUAUAGAUGGAUCCGCGCCGCAUUAGCUAGUUGGUAAGGUAACGGCUUACCAAGGCAACGAUGCAUAGCCGACCUGAGAGGGUGAUCGGCCACACUGGAACUGAGACACGGUCCAGACUCCUACGGGAGGCAGCAGUAGGGAAUCUUCCGCAAUGGGCGAAAGCCUGACGGAGCAACGCGGCGUGAGUGAUGAAGGUCUUCGGAUCGUAAAACUCUGUUAUUAGGGAAGAACAUAUGUGUAAGUAACUGUGCACAUCUUGACGGUACCUAAUCAGAAAGCCACGGCUAACUACGUG
RNAcentral lists this ribosomal RNA (497 nucleotides) under uncultured bacterium. RNAcentral describes it as "partial 16S ribosomal RNA". It matches the Rfam family "Bacterial small subunit ribosomal RNA", at positions 28 to 507 of the family's 1533-position model. The record is from RNAcentral.